CAGGACGUAGCUCAGCUUGGUAGAGCGCUUGGUUCGGGUCCAAGAGACCGCAGGUUCAAAUCCCGUCGUCCUGACCA
RNAcentral lists this transfer RNA (77 nucleotides) under Bacillota bacterium. RNAcentral's name for it is "tRNA-Pro". It matches the Rfam family "tRNA". Rfam says of the family: Transfer RNA (tRNA) molecules are approximately 80 nucleotides in length. Their secondary structure includes four short double-helical elements and three loops (D, anti-codon, and T loops). Lineage: Bacteria; Bacillati; Bacillota. RNAcentral also lists the same sequence under 2 other names. The record is from RNAcentral.